This 1324-nucleotide long non-coding RNA is filed under the name Homo sapiens (human). RNAcentral describes it as "HSALNT0147833". The record is from RNAcentral. Lineage: Eukaryota; Metazoa; Chordata; Mammalia; Primates; Hominidae.
ACCAAGUAACCAACGGGAAACCUCUAGAGAGUAUUUAAGCCCCAGAAAAUUCUGUAACCAAUGCUCUUCAGCCACUUGCUCAAGCGUGUUCCCACUCUGUGGCAUGUACUCUGAAAUCUGUGUUUUCAUUGCUUCACUUUUUCAUUGCUUUGUUUGUGCAUUUUUUCCAAUUCUUUGUUCAAAAUACCAAGAGCCUGGAUGACUUGUAGUCAAGACCCUCCACUGGUGACAUAUUUUGGUGAGUGAGCCAGGAGAUUACUAUGAGAAACAUUGCAUCUAUUCCACCUCACUCCCCACUUGGCUGCAUCCUCAACCACUGGAAUCAAUUUGACCCUGAUAACCUAAGGAGGAAACACUUGAUAUUCUUUUGAAAUAUUGUUUGGCCCCAAUAUUGUUUGGAAUCUGGAGUUUGCUGUUGAAUGGGAAAGUGGGAAGGAGUUGCAUGUAUACAGGCUUUUGUACUGCUUUUCUAAUCAGGGUCUGGCCUGGUUAGCAUGUGACACUCUCCUUUGGUGCUGUUUGGCCUGAAUGUUCUUUGGAGUUUAAAAAUCAAACUGUCAUGGAAACUGCUUUACCCAAAAUUUUGGUUCACAGCCUUCAUUGGGUUACCCACUGGGACAAGCAAAUUGUAACCAUGUAAAACCAGUGAGUUUGUCUUGCUAUCUCAUGGCUAGAGUUCCAAGGUAAAGGCUAUUGGAUCUUUGUUUGUGUGUGUAUAUAUGACUAGAUGUGUUUAUUUGCAUGUACACUUAUUGUUAUACGUUGUGCCUACCAAAUUGGCUUAUAACUAAAAGAGCACUCAAUAAGUAAAUAAGUCUAAGCAAUUUUCAAGUUCAUGUGAAUUAAGUAUAACUUUUUAUUAAACAAGCUGGCUAUAAAAUUAUUGGUAAAAUUAAAAAAGAAAUGUCUUUAGAAUUGUCAGCAUAUAUUUUUGUCUAGGUUUAAUAUUUGCCUUUGCUAGAUACUGUGAGAUGUCAUUGUUUGGCAUAGAAGGUUAUAAAGCUAUUAACCCAGCGAAAACAAAAUCAUCUUGGUUUGCGUGCCUUCUUUGACAAAUGAGACUAAUUUAAUGUUGUUAGCUGAGUCUUCUGAGUUAUUGGCAAAAAUACCUAUGUAUUUACUUUUGAGGCUUUUAUUUAGGUGAGCAUGUGAUGGUCACUGGCUAUUUAAAAAAAUUGUUAACAAGGAAAUAAGAAACCUUAAAUGAUAGUGUUUCAUAUCUCAGUUUCCAAAAGUAAUCUAGAUAAACUGUUAAAAUGAAAAAAUGAGUACAUGUAAAUGGGAUAAAUGUUUAAAAUAAAUUUUUUUGUAAUUUAAAAUCUUA